GAUGAGUCUGCGUCCUAUCAGCUAGUUGGUGGGGUAAUGGCCUACCAAGGCGAAGACGAGUAGCCGUCCUGAGAGGGUGAACGGCCACACUGGGACUGAGACACGGCCCAGACUCCUACGGGAGGCAGCAGUGAGGAAUUUUCCGCAAUGGGCGCAAGCCUGACGGAGCGACGCCGCGUGAGGGAUGACGGCCUUCGGGUUGUAAACCUCUUUUAUUAAGGAAAAAGGCAAUCGUGCUAACACCACGGUUGUUUGAUGGUACUUAUUGAAUAAGCCCCGGCUAACUACGUGCCAGCAGCCGCGGUAAUACGUAGGGGGCGAGCGUUGUCCGGAGUUACUGGGCGUAAAGAGCGUGUAGGCGGUUGAAAAAGUCAGGUGUGAAAUUCUUCGGCUCAACCGAGGGACUGCGCCUGAAACUUUUCGACUGGAGUUCGGGAGGGGCAACUGGAAUUCCUGGUGUAACGGUGAAAUGUGUAGAUAUCAGGAGGAACACCGGUGGCGAAGGCGGGUUGCUGGACCGAAACUGACGCUGAGACGCGAAAGCGUGGGUAGCAAACAGGAUUAGAUACCCUGGUAGUCCACGCUGUAAA
Molecule: ribosomal RNA, 590 nt
Filed under: uncultured bacterium
Lineage: Bacteria
Description: bacterial SSU rRNA
Rfam family: Bacterial small subunit ribosomal RNA
Source: RNAcentral